Molecule: ribosomal RNA, 253 nt
Filed under: uncultured bacterium
Lineage: Bacteria
Description: partial 16S ribosomal RNA
Rfam family: Bacterial small subunit ribosomal RNA
Source: RNAcentral
UACAGAGGUCCCGAGCGUUGUUCGGAUUCACUGGGCGUAAAGGGUGCGCAGGUGGGUUUGCAAGUUCGAUGUGAAAGCCCCGGGCUCAACCUGGGAAUUGCGAUGGAGACUGCACGGCUAGAGUGUGUCAGAGGGGGGUAGAAUUCCACGUGUAGCAGUGAAAUGCGUAGAUAUGUGGAGGAACACCGAUGGCGAAGGCAGCCCCCUGGGAUAACACUGACGCUCAUGCACGAAAGCGUGGGGAGCAAACAGG